Molecule: long non-coding RNA, 704 nt
Organism: Drosophila arizonae
Lineage: Eukaryota; Metazoa; Arthropoda; Insecta; Diptera; Drosophilidae
Source: RefSeq, a predicted model, not a curated record
AAAAAAGAAAAAAUUCAUUUUGAAAAAUGCUAGAACUUCAAUAAAUUAUAUUGCUUUGGCCAGAACCAAACCCAAGCGAAUCGUAAAAAAAUGGAGGUAACCUCAACGUGAGGCGUGGGGCGCGUGGGGGUCCGAGUGCUUCAUCCAAGCUGUAGCUCGACUUGCUGGCACCUUCACUAUCUCAUGGCAACAAUACAAAGGAGACGAAGAAGAGAAAUAACAGAGCAAAAUUCGCAUGGCGGACAGGUGAAUCGGGUCAGAGACGGCAGCAGCAACAGCAGCAGCACCUAACGGGUAUGCGGAGAAAAAAGCUUUCCUGUCAAGUGAGCGUGCAAAAAAGGAAGAAGCAGAAACUGUGCUGCCUGAAGUGAAAAUGUGGGUGGGUUGUGAAGGCAUGGAGCAGGGGAGGGGGAUCAGUGCGAUGCAAAAAAAUUGGAAUGCGAAACCCAAACUGAGUUUGAGCAAAUCAGAUGCUUGAUGGCCCUGCGCCCUGACAAGAAGCGCGUCAAAGUUUCCUUUGCCGCAGGCAAUAAACAGAAAGAAGGGGCGGAGGAGGUGUAGGAGGAGAUGGAACCCGUGUAUGUUUCGUGUUUAUUUGAAAAAUCGCUAAAGGAUAACUAAAGGAUUCCCCUAAGGGCAUUUGGCGAGCACGCGAGUGAUUUGUAUGCGAAUUUACAUACGCACGCAGCGAGGUUCCGCCAAAA